This 435-nucleotide ribosomal RNA is filed under the name uncultured bacterium. Its description in RNAcentral is "partial 16S ribosomal RNA". It matches the Rfam family "Bacterial small subunit ribosomal RNA", at positions 29 to 507 of the family's 1533-position model. The record is from RNAcentral.
AGCGAACGCUGGCGGCAGGCUUAACACAUGCAAGUCGAGCGGGCACCUUCGGUUGUCCGCGGCAGACGGGUGAGUAACACGUGGUAACGUACCCUUCGGUUCGGAAUAACGCUGGGAAACUAGCGCUAAUACCGGAUACGCCCUUAUGGGGAAAGGUUUACUGCCGAAGGAUCGGCCCGCGUCUGAUUAGCUGGUUGGUGGGGUAACGGCCUACCAAGGCGACGAUCAGUAGCUGGUCUGAGAGGAUGAUCAGCCACACUGGGACUGAGACACGGCCCAGACUCCUACGGGAGGGAGCAGUGGGGGAUAUUGGAAAACGGACGGAAGCAUGAACCAGCCAGGGCGGGUGAGUGAUGAAGGCCGUAAGGUAGUAAAGCUCUUUUGUCCGGGACGAUAAUGACGGUACCGGAAGAAUAAGCACCGGCUAACUUCGUG